Molecule: ribosomal RNA, 774 nt
Filed under: uncultured bacterium
Lineage: Bacteria
Description: bacterial SSU rRNA
Rfam family: Bacterial small subunit ribosomal RNA
Source: RNAcentral
AGAGUUUGAUCCUGGCUCAGGACGAACGCUGGCGGCGUGCUUAACACAUGCAAGUCACGGGGGCCCGCAAGGGCAACCGGCGAACGGGUGCGUAACACGUGAGCAACCUGCCUAUCUGUGGGGGAUAGCCGGCCCAACGGCCGGGUAAUACCGCAUACGCUCUCCGGGGGACAUCCCCUGGUGAGGAAAACUCCGGUGCAGAUAGAGGGGCUCGCGACCUAUCAGCUAGUUGGUGAGGUAACGGCUCACCAAGGCGACGACGGGUAGCUGGUCUGAGAGGAUGGCCAGCCACAUUGGGACUGCGACACGGCCCAGACUCCUACGGGAGGCAGCAGUGGGGAAUAUUGCGCAAUGGACGAAAGUCUGACGCAGCGACGCCGCGUGUGGGAUGAAGCUCUUCGGGGUGUAAACCACUGUUGCCAGGGAAGAAACUCUUGAUUCGUCAAGACUGACGGUACCUGGUGAGGAAGCACCGGCUAACUCUGUGCCAGCAGCCGCGGUAAUACAGAGGGUGCGAGCGUUGUCCGGAAUCACUGGGCGUAAAGGGCGCGUAGGUGGCGGGAUAAGUGUGUGGUGAAAGCUCGGGGCUCAACCCCGAGUCUGCCAUGCAGACUGUCUUGUUCGAGCGUAGUAGAGGCAGGUGGAAUUCCGGGUGUAGCGGUGGAAUGCAGAGAUCCGGAAGAACACCGGUGGCGAAGGCGGCCUGCUGGGCUACUGCUGACACUGAUGCGCGACAGCGUGGGGAGCAAACAGGAUUAGAUACCCUAGUAGUCC